This 164-nucleotide ribosomal RNA is filed under the name Oryza longistaminata (longstamen rice). RNAcentral describes it as "5.8S ribosomal RNA". It matches the Rfam family "5.8S ribosomal RNA". Rfam says of the family: 5.8S ribosomal RNA (5.8S rRNA) is a component of the large subunit of the eukaryotic ribosome. Lineage: Eukaryota; Viridiplantae; Streptophyta; Magnoliopsida; Poales; Poaceae. RNAcentral also lists the same sequence under 16 other names. The record is from RNAcentral.
CACACGACUCUCGGCAACGGAUAUCUCGGCUCUCGCAUCGAUGAAGAACGUAGCGAAAUGCGAUACCUGGUGUGAAUUGCAGAAUCCCGUGAACCAUCGAGUCUUUGAACGCAAGUUGCGCCCGAGGCCAUCCGGCCGAGGGCACGCCUGCCUGGGCGUCACGC